AAGAAGAAUGUGGGAGAGAUUCGAUCAAGGCCUAAGAAACCAUAGGUAAUGAUUGGACGCCGAAGGAAGAAGCUAGAGAAAUUGCCCUUUUCUAGUGAAAAUCUCAGGCAAAAGGACCGUAUUUGGACA
Molecule: non-coding RNA, 129 nt
Filed under: Alkaliphilus metalliredigens
Lineage: Bacteria; Bacillati; Bacillota; Clostridia; Peptostreptococcales; Natronincolaceae
Also listed under: 1 other name
Description: Glycine sequence
Rfam family: Glycine riboswitch aptamer
About the family: This family represents the bacterial glycine riboswitch. Glycine riboswitches usually consist of two metabolite-binding aptamers domains with similar structures in tandem.
Source: RNAcentral